UACAGCUUUUGUUAAGCAUAUCAUGUCUGUCUAAAUGGAGCAUUCAAGAACAAGCAUUGUUUAAGAAGACUGGCUGGAAGCCUAUUUUAAUCACAUCCAUGACUGUCCAGAUCUGUUUACCAGCAUUUAGAAAAACAAACAAUCUGGACUGUUCGAGACAGAAGGACUCCCUGAAUUUUCAUUUAUAUUGAGUUUUUCUCUGAAUUGUAUUCAUACCACGCAAACCAAGUGUCUGCUGCUCUAGACAAGAAGAAUAAAAUAUUGACAA
Molecule: long non-coding RNA, 268 nt
Organism: Otolemur garnettii (small-eared galago)
Lineage: Eukaryota; Metazoa; Chordata; Mammalia; Primates; Galagidae
Exons: 2
Source: RefSeq, a predicted model, not a curated record